This 616-nucleotide ribosomal RNA is filed under the name Cryptococcus sp. T11-10-1. Its description in RNAcentral is "eukaryotic LSU rRNA". It matches the Rfam family "Eukaryotic large subunit ribosomal RNA", at positions 49 to 651 of the family's 3401-position model. The record is from RNAcentral. Lineage: Eukaryota; Fungi; Basidiomycota; Tremellomycetes; Tremellales; Cryptococcaceae.
AGCGGAGGAAAAGAAACUAACAAGGAUUCCCCUAGUAACGGCGAGUGAAGCGGGAAGAGCUCAAAUUUGUAAUCUGGCGUCCUCUGGGCGUCCGAGUUGUAAUCUAGAGAAGUGUUUUCCGUGCCGGCCCAUGUACAAGUCCCUUGGAACAGGGCGUCAUAGAGGGUGAGAAUCCCGUACUUGACAUGGACCACCGGUGCUCUGUGAUACACUUUCGACGAGUCGAGUUGUUUGGGAAUGCAGCUCAAAAUGGGUGGUAAAUUCCAUCUAAAGCUAAAUAUUGGCGAGAGACCGAUAGCGAACAAGUACCGUGAGGGAAAGAUGAAAAGCACUUUGGAAAGAGAGUUAAACAGUAUGUGAAAUUGUUAAAAGGGAAACGAUUGAAGUCAGUCAUGCUCUUCGGAUUCAACCGGUUCUUCCGGCUUAUUUCCGUUGGGUGGGGUCAACAUCAGUUUCGAUCGGUGGAAAAGGUUUGGAGGAAUGUAGCACUCUCGGGUGAACUUAUAGCCUCUUUUCGUAUACACUGGUUGGGACUGAGGAACGCAGCACGCCCUUGUGGCAGGUCUUCGGACACUUUCGUGCUUAGGAUGUUGACAUAAUGGCUUUAAACAACCCG